GAGAAACUGAGGCGCAGAUUUUCCCUGAUACCUAACUCUUCCAGAUUGCAUGGCUUGGAAAUAACAUUGAGCAUCAGUUCAAGAUCACAGCCAUUUGGAGGACAAAGCAGGGAUUUCCCAGGCCGUGAUUCAGCACAGCUUCGUUCCAGCAUGAUGGAAUUCAUGGGUGAGGCUGAGAUGGUAGUGCCCUGGUGGAUCUUUCCAUCAAAUCCACUGGACUUCAGGGAUCCAGCAGUGAUUUUUGACAGAAAACGAGGGCUGGCAAAUGAAAUGGCUGUGUGGGGUGAGUGCAGCACCAUACACAAGAAACAAUAUGAUUGCCCCCUACGUUUUGUGGGUCUGGCAUGCAGAAUGGCUUCAGUGCUGGUGUUUCUUCAAUGAGCCCAUUUCAGUGUGAAACUGUGAUAACUUGGGGAGAUCAGAAGAUCUCCAGAGGGUCAAUGUGCACCACAGCAAGCUUUCAAAUGCCAGGUGAUGAUACUGAAAGGGACACCCAGAGCUCCACCACGCCAGCAGUUCUUCAGCUUGAACCUGUUUGUGCAACUACCUCUUGGUUUAUUUUCAGCAUAGCACAAAUUUACUAAAAUUAACGUUUUGAAAAUGUGAAGGCACAGAAGCAAGUUAAACCUCCUGAGUAAAUUUGCUGUUCAGCACGCUCCAGAUGCGAUCGCUUUUAAUGAAAGCAAGACUACGUGAGGAUUGCCUGUAUUUCCUCAGGUUAGGGGUCCUUAUUCUUCCCCUGAUGCUCUCGCACAGAUCCUGUUGGUACCACUGAGUCAUAAUGUGAGCAGCAGAGAUUGCAGCACCACUCGCAGUUCUUGCCCACAGGUAGCCCAUGAACAUCGAUACCUUCUCCUCACUGCAUCAGCGCAGCAUGAAGCACUGGUGGAGCUUGUGUCUGUGCCCGGCCCCAGGGAAGG
Molecule: long non-coding RNA, 920 nt
Organism: Numida meleagris (helmeted guineafowl)
Lineage: Eukaryota; Metazoa; Chordata; Aves; Galliformes; Numididae
Exons: 3
Source: RefSeq, a predicted model, not a curated record